AAUUGAUCUUCCUGUCAAUUUUUCGGCCCUGUUGCUCGCAAUUACAUAGGAAAUGCAGUGUUUUUAUUAAAAAAAUAAAGUUUUGAAUGGUAUAGCAAAGCACUUGUGAAUAAAAAUGGAAGGAGAUAAUACGAUGCCAAUAAUUGUGAAACAAAAUAGAGUUGGAUUGCAUAAGAGCUGCUGCUACGGAUUGUGCAAAAGUAGUAGUCGCAGUAAAACUUCGUCCGUAAAAUUGUGCAAUUUUUAUUUUUAUUCUAUCCCUAAACCAUGUCUAAAAUUUAGAAAGGGUGAAAUUAAUAAUGCGAAUAUGAAAUUCCACUGAAAACGUGUGAAGCAUGCAGGAAAUGCAAUAAAUGGGUGAAGUCGUGUGGACGUAAAGAUUCAAAGUUUAAAUCAAUCAGAAACGUCAUAAAAGAUACAUAUAUUUGUUCUUUACACUUCUUUGGAUAAUCUGUAAUAACAGAAGAGCAUCUAAACCCCAUAGAAUGUCGACCGAAAACUAUGAAAGAGGGAGUAAAAAAGGCUAGAAGAAGCUUAAAGUAAAAGUUCCAACAUUUCUCAUUGAAGUCUGAGGAAUUCACUUGAAGCCAACUUUUUCUUCUGAGAUGCAGAGCAUGGACAUGAUAUCUCACUUUGUGUUUUGUAUUAAUUCUAAUGUAAAUGAAUGGAGGAAUAAAACAAUCUUGUGUAAUA
This is a long non-coding RNA of Belonocnema kinseyi, 693 nucleotides long. RefSeq lists it as uncharacterized. The record is from RefSeq and is a predicted model, not a curated record. The transcript is spliced from 2 exons. NCBI's taxonomy places the organism in Eukaryota, Metazoa, Arthropoda, Insecta, Hymenoptera, Cynipidae.